AUGGUUGGACACACAUGGAUCCACAGCUUGUUAAUAGUGACAGGGCUUCAGUUCACAGGAGCUGCUUUGAUCAGACGUGGAGACGACGUCUCGUUCCCUUGUAACAAUCUGAUCCCUGAUCAGAGUCAGUGUAACACCACCACCUGGCUCUACAGUGUCUCAGGACCAGCACUAGUGGAGCUGGUUACACUUGGGAAGAUUAGAGAAAACGAUGCAUCUAAAUCCAACAGACUGAGUUUAACAGAGAACUGUUCUCUGGUCAUAAAGCAGAUCACAGAUCAGGAUGCUGGUCGUUACACCUGCAGACAGUAUAAUAAAUCAGGACGACAACAAGGUGUAGAUGCUGCUGUUGACUUGUCUGUUGUUACCUUGACUCAACAUGAACACGAUGAUGAGGUGACGUUAAACUGUCACGUGUGGACGAAUAGUCAGUGCAGACACACAGUAAAGUGGCUGUUUGAGGAUAAAGACCUGGAAAAGACUUCAAUAAAGUCAUCAGAGUCUCUCUGUGACGCUGCUGUUACUUUUAGUAGAAGUUCCUUCUAUUCAUCGCGCUCCAUUACUUCAUUUACGUGUGAAGUGAGAGAUGGUCACAAUCAUCAAAGCUCCACCUUCAACCUUCAGCCUCAAGGUGACGACAAACCACCAGCAACAGGUGCCGAAUCAUGGUUUCAUGCUCUCCCUCUCUCUCUCCCUCUCGCUCGCCCUCUGCUCCUGCCUCUCUCAGACACAUCUGUCCCAGUGGUGCUUCCCUCCAGCUGUGCUGUCUGUGGCUCUGACUCAGCUUUAACCUGCACCAGUGAAACCAGCUGAGCUCAGCUGUUUGUGUUGGUCUCAGGUGGAGGUCUGUGGAGGAACGUCGUGGUCUCGGUGGCUGUAACGUCUCUGGUGGUGGUGGUGGUCACAGUCCACGUGUGGACCAGAGCUGAAGGUGAAACGUUUUCCUGCCGACAGAAGCUUCAGCGUUUGUGCGUUGGCUGUUUGUGCUGAAGUCGACUCUUUUGUCUUCGUAGGGAACAAAGGGACGGAUCAAGCAGUGAGUAUGAAGCUGCUCUUUGUUCAGAUGAGCUGCUGCCCGUGGGGUUGUGGGUCCGAGUCCCUGCGGCGCUGAGCAAGGCAGCGAGCUCCAGCUGUUCCUCUGCAGCUGCUUCGUGUCCGUCACUGUUCUGUUUGAGCUCAGUGUCGAUGCUUCCACAGGUUCACGGUGAUGAAGACGAUGGUGAAGGUGCAGCGACGUAUGAAAACGCCAGAGACUCGUCUGCUUCAGUCUGAGCAACGACGGCAUCAACUCACCACGCGCAUUCAUCCUGCUGCGUCUGAGUCUCUGUUCUGUUGUUAAACCAUGAAUAAAGCAUCAGACGUUUAUCA
Molecule: long non-coding RNA, 1368 nt
Filed under: Betta splendens (Siamese fighting fish)
Lineage: Eukaryota; Metazoa; Chordata; Actinopteri; Anabantiformes; Osphronemidae
Description: lncRNA (ENSBSLG00000024850.1)
Source: RNAcentral